Molecule: long non-coding RNA, 317 nt
Organism: Mauremys reevesii (Reeves's turtle)
Lineage: Eukaryota; Metazoa; Chordata; Testudines; Geoemydidae
Exons: 3
Source: RefSeq, a predicted model, not a curated record
CAGAUUGCUGACUGGUUCGGACACAGGGAUUUGCUCUGCAUGUGCAAAUGCAGGACAAGAUCCUGAAGGAAGGUUGAUACAAGCCUUCAGUGGACAGCCAAGAGGGGGAGAGUGGGACGAAGACUGGCUGAUGGAGCUACUGUUGGUGGAUUGCUUUUUGUGCACUCCAGAAGAAGGUGGAGUUUUUGUUUUGGCUGGAGCACUAAACUACCCCGAGAGAGGAAAACUGAGCCUCAUCCUCCACAGUCAGAGAUUUGAUGAUGCCAUUGGCGGUUGACUGGUCUAUUGUCCCUAAUAAGUGCUGGUCUUUUCUAGAG